This 754-nucleotide ribosomal RNA is filed under the name uncultured delta proteobacterium. RNAcentral's name for it is "bacterial SSU rRNA". It matches the Rfam family "Bacterial small subunit ribosomal RNA", at positions 68 to 796 of the family's 1533-position model. Lineage: Bacteria; Deltaproteobacteria. The record is from RNAcentral.
GAGAAAGUUUUCUUCGGAAAGCGAGUAGAGUGGCGCACGGGUGAGUAACGCGUAGGUAAUCUACCCUUAUACCUGGGAUAACAUUGGGAAACUGGUGCUAAUACCGGAUACACUUCUUUGCUGCGGGGCGAAGGAGGAAAGGUGGCCUCUUCAUGAAGGCUACCGUAUAGGGAUGAGCCUGCGUACCAUUAGCUAGUAGGUAGGGUAACGGCCUACCUAGGCCACGAUGGUUAGCGGGUCUGAGAGGAUGAUCCGCCACACUGGAACUGGAACACGGACCAGACUCCUACGGGAGGCAGCAGUGAGGAAUAUUGCGCAAUGGGGGAAACCCUGACGCAGCGACGCCGCGUGAGUGAGGAAGGUCUUCGGAUCGUAAAGCUCUGUCAGAAGGGAAGAAGUGUUAGGUGGUUAAUACCCAUUUAAUUUGACGGUACCUUCAGAGGAAGCACCGGCUAACUCCGUGCCAGCAGCCGCGGUAAUACGGAGGGUGCUAGCGUUGUUCGGAAUUACUGGGCGUAAAGGGCGCGUAGGCGGCUGGAUAAGUCAGAUGUGAAAGCCCACGGCUUAACUGUGGAAGUGCAUUUGAAACUGUCCGGCUUGAGUAUCGGAGGGGAGUGUGGAAUUCCCGGUGUAGAGGUGAAAUUCGUAGAGAUCGGGAGGAACACCGGUGGCGAAGGCGACACUCUGGACGAAUACUGACGCUGAGGCGCGAAAGCGUGGGGAGCAAACAGGAUUAGAUACCCCUGGGUAGUCC